RNAcentral lists this ribosomal RNA (506 nucleotides) under uncultured bacterium. Its description in RNAcentral is "partial 16S ribosomal RNA". It matches the Rfam family "Bacterial small subunit ribosomal RNA", at positions 28 to 523 of the family's 1533-position model. The record is from RNAcentral.
GAUGAACGCUAGCUACAAGCUUAACACAUGCAAGUCGAGGGGUAACGAGAGGAAAGCUUGCUUUCCUUGUCGACGACCGGCGCACGGGUGAGUAACGCGUAUCCAACCUGCCCCCAACUAAGGAAUAACCUUGCGAAAGUAAGACUAAUACCUUAUAAUUUCCUCAGAUGACAUCUGACGAGGAAUAAAGAUUUAUCGGUUGUGGAUGGGGAUGCGUCUGAUUGGCUUGUUGGCGGGGUAACGGCCCACCAAGGCAACGAUCAGUAGGGGUUCUGAGAGGAAGGUCCCCCACAUUGGAACUGAGACACGGUCCAAACUCCUACGGGAGGCAGCAGUGAGGAAUAUUGGUCAAUGGGCGGAAGCCUGAACCAGCCAAGUAGCGUGCAGGAUGACGGCCCUAUGGGUUGUAAACUGCUUUUAUACAGGAAUAAAGUUAGCCACGUGUGGUUAUUUGUAGGUACUGUAUGAAUAAGGACCGGCUAAUUCCGUGCCAGCCGCCGCAGUAA